GAUGAAGAACGUAGUGAAAUGCGAUAAGUAAUGUGAAUUGCAGAAUUCAGUGAAUCAUCGAAUCUUUGAACGCACCUUGCGCCCUUUGGCUAUUCCGAAGGGCAUGCCUGUUUGAGUAUCAUGAACACCUCAACUCUCAUGGCUUGCCAUGAUGAGCUUGGACUUUUGGGGGUCUUGCUGGCCUGUGGUCAGCUCCUCUCAAAUGAAUUAGCCUGCCAGUGUUUGGUGGCAUCACAGGUGUGAUAACUAUCUACGCUUGUGGUUUUCCACCAGGUAACCUUCAGUGAUGAAGGUUCGCUGGGGCUCAUAAACGUCUCUCCUCAGUGAGGACAGCUCUUUGAACGUUUGAUCUCAAAUCAGGUAGGACUACCCGCUGAACUUAAGCAUAUCAAUAAGCGGAGGA
Molecule: unclassified non-coding RNA, 403 nt
Filed under: soil metagenome
Description: partial contains 5.8S ribosomal RNA, internal transcribed spacer 2, and large subunit ribosomal RNA
Rfam family: 5.8S ribosomal RNA (bases 1-121)
Source: RNAcentral